GACGAACGCUGGCGGCGUGCUUAACACAUGCAAGUCGAACGAAGAGCGAUGGAAGCUUGCUUCUAUCAAUCUUAGUGGCGAACGGGUGAGUAACGCGUAAUCAACCUGCCCUUCAGAGGGGGACAACAGUUGGAAACGACUGCUAAUACCGCAUACGAUCUGACCUCGGCAUCGAGGAUGGAUGAAAGGUGGCCUCUAUUUAUAAGCUAUCACUGAAGGAGGGGAUUGCGUCUGAUUAGCUAGUUGGAGGGGUAGCGGCCCACCAAGGCGAUGAUCAGUAGCCGGUCUGAGAGGAUGAACGGCCACAUUGGGACUGAGACACGGCCCAGACUCCUACGGGAGGCAGCAGUGGGGAAUCUUCCGCAAUGGACGAAAGUCUGACGGAGCAACGCCGCGUGAGUGAUGACGGCCUUCGGGUUGUAAAGCUCUGUUAAUCGGGACGAAAGGCCUUCUUGCGAAUAGUUAGAAGGAUUGACGGUACCGGAAUAG
Molecule: ribosomal RNA, 489 nt
Filed under: Veillonella dispar
Lineage: Bacteria; Bacillati; Bacillota; Negativicutes; Veillonellales; Veillonellaceae
Description: bacterial SSU rRNA
Rfam family: Bacterial small subunit ribosomal RNA
Source: RNAcentral